Long non-coding RNA from Ipomoea nil (Japanese morning glory), 259 nucleotides. RefSeq lists it as uncharacterized. The record is from RefSeq and is a predicted model, not a curated record. Lineage: Eukaryota; Viridiplantae; Streptophyta; Magnoliopsida; Solanales; Convolvulaceae. The transcript has 2 exons.
UUUCCCUAAUUUCAGGAACUUCAUAAACCCUGACAUCUCAUACCCUUAUUGCUCUCAUCUUGUGUACAGGUUGGAUUUCUUUGACAGGAACAAACAUGGAAGGCAUGAUGCAAUAUUGUGGCUGCUACUGGAAUGUGAAAUGUGGCUGAGAGAGGUUAGUUUAUAAAUUUAUGCUUGGGAAAUGAAUAGACAUUUAAUUAGCCGGCUAUACUUGCAUUGGUAUUACAAAGCAAUAAAAAUUUAUUGUACAAAGCAAAAA